GUGGGGAAUAUUGGACAAUGGGGGGAACCCUGAUCCAGCCAUGCCGCGUGUGUGAAGAAGGCCUUUUGGUUGUAAAGCACUUUAAGCGAGGAGGAGGCUACCGAGAUUAAUACUCUUGGAUAGUGGACGUUACUCGCAGAAUAAGCACCGGCUAACUCUGUGCCAGCAGCCGCGGUAAUACAGAGGGUGCAAGCGUUAAUCGGCUUUACUGGGCGUAAAGCGCGCGUAGGUGGCCAAUUAAGUCAAAUGUGAAAUCCCCGAGCUUAACUUGGGAAUUGCAUUCGAUACUGGUUGGCUAGAGUAUGGGAGAGGAUGGUAGAAUUCCAGGUGUAGCGGUGAAAUGCGUAGAGAUCUGGAGGAAUACCGAUGGCGAAGGCAGCCAUCUGGCCUAAUGCUGACACUGAGGUGCGAAAGCAUGGGGAGCAAACAGGAUUAGAUACCCGAGUAGUCC
This 451-nucleotide ribosomal RNA is filed under the name uncultured bacterium. RNAcentral's name for it is "partial 16S ribosomal RNA". It matches the Rfam family "Bacterial small subunit ribosomal RNA", at positions 354 to 796 of the family's 1533-position model. The record is from RNAcentral.